RNAcentral lists this long non-coding RNA (367 nucleotides) under Lathyrus oleraceus (garden pea). Its description in RNAcentral is "Pisum sativum (pea) long non-coding RNA (PSAT_LNC032886)". Lineage: Eukaryota; Viridiplantae; Streptophyta; Magnoliopsida; Fabales; Fabaceae. The record is from RNAcentral.
AAAUCCUGUCAAACACCACAGAAAAAGUAUGCCUUUCCCUCAUUUUUCUUGCCAUGGCCAAGCAUCACUAGACCACACCAACAUGACAUGGUAGGCUAACAGACCUCAUUCAUUCAAACAAAAACCUCACUUGUAUUUUCUGUCCACAAGCUAUCCAAACACACAAUGAACCUAACCUGGCCUGGCUUGAGAUAGUCAUCAAGACAUAUAACAAAAACACACCAGCAUCAUCAAACCAACAAGAAAUAGCAUUGGUUCUUUCAUUCACUCAAAAACCUCUUCUUGCACUUUUUCAUUUAUCAGUCCACAAACUUCAAACACUUUGACUUUGUUUGGUUGGUUCAUCAUCAAGGCAACAUCAUGAGCA